This 301-nucleotide ribosomal RNA is filed under the name uncultured bacterium. Its description in RNAcentral is "partial 16S ribosomal RNA". It matches the Rfam family "Bacterial small subunit ribosomal RNA", at positions 509 to 809 of the family's 1533-position model. The record is from RNAcentral.
CAGCAGCCACGGUAAUACGUAGGGUGCAAGCGUUGUCCGGAAUUAUUGGGCGUAAAGAGCUCGUAGGCGGUUUGUCGCGUCUGCUGUGAAAACGCGAGGCUCAACCUCGCGCCUGCAGUGGGUACGGGCAGACUAGAGUGUGGUAGGGGAGAUUGGAAUUCCUGGUGUAGCGGUGGAAUGCGCAGAUAUCAGGAGGAACACCGAUGGCGAAGGCAGAUCUCUGGGCCAUUACUGACGCUGAGGAGCGAAAGCGUGGGGAGCGAACAGGAUUAGAUACCCCGGUAGUCCCUGUCUCUUAUAU